Molecule: small nucleolar RNA, 142 nt
Filed under: Octodon degus (degu)
Lineage: Eukaryota; Metazoa; Chordata; Mammalia; Rodentia; Octodontidae
Description: Small nucleolar RNA SNORA63 (ENSODEG00000022652.1)
Source: RNAcentral
AUGCAGGUAUGGAGGUGUGCACAGGGCUGAGCUCUGGCUGGAUAGCUGGGAAGCACUCUGUGGUUGCCCCUGCUGAGAGGAAGGUUGCCCACAGUCUCUGUCCAGCUCACUUCUGUAGGAAGGGACGCUUGGUCACAAGCAU